GGGUUGUGAGGUUAAGCGACUAAGCGUACACGGUGGAUGCCCUGGCAGUCAGAGGCGAUGAAGGGCGUGCUAAUCUGCGAUAAGCGCCGGUAAGGUGAUAUGAACCGUUAUAACCGGCGAUACCCGAAUGGGGAAACCCAGUGUGAUUCGUCACACUAUCAUUAACUGAAUCCAUAGGUUAAUGAGGCGAACCGGGGGAACUGAAACAUCUAAGUACCCCGAGGAAAAGAAAUCAACCGAGAUUCCCCCAGUAGCGGCGAGCGAACGGGGAGGAGCCCAGAGCCUGAAUCAGCAUGUGUGUUAGUGGAAGCGUCUGGAAAGGCGCGCGAUACAGGGUGACAGCCCCGUACACAAAAGCGCAUGUGCUGUGAGCUCGAUGAGUAGGGCGGGACACGUGGUAUCCUGUCUGAAUAUGGGGGGACCAUCCUCCAAGGCUAAAUACUCCUGACUGACCGAUAGUGAACCAGUACCGUGAGGGAAAGGCGAAAAGAACCCCGGCGAGGGGAGUGAAAAAGAACCUGAAACCGUGUACGUACAAGCAGUGGGAGCACAGGUUUACCUGUGUGACUGCGUACCUUUUGUAUAAUGGGUCAGCGACUUAUAUUCUGUAGCAAGGUUAACCGUAUAGGGGAGCCGGAGGGAAACCGAGUCUUAAUUGGGCGUUAAGUUGCAGGGUAUAGACCCGAAACCCGGUGAUCUAGCCAUGGGCAGGUUGAAGGUUGGGUAACACUAACUGGAGGACCGAACCGACUAAUGUUGAAAAAUUAGCGGAUGACCUGUGGCUGGGGGUGAAAGGCCAAUCAAACCGGGAGAUAGCUGGUUCUCCCCGAAAGCUAUUUAGGUAGCGCCUCGUGAAUUCAUCUCCGGGGGUAGAGCACUGUUUCGGCUAGGGGGCCAUCCCGGCUUACCAACCCGAUGCAAACUGCGAAUACCGGAGAAUGUUAUCACGGGAGACACACGGCGGGUGCUAACGUCCGUCGUGAAGAGGGAAACAACCCAGACCGCCAGCUAAGGUCCCAAAGUCAUGGUUAAGUGGGAAACGAUGUGGGAAGGCCCAGACAGCCAGGAUGUUGGCUUAGAAGCAGCCAUCAUUUAAAGAAAGCGUAAUAGCUCACUGGUCGAGUCGGCCUGCGCGGAAGAUGUAACGGGGCUAAACCAUGCACCGAAGCUGCGGCAGCGACGCUUAUGCGUUGUUGGGUAGGGGAGCGUUCUGUAAGCCUGUGAAGGUGUGUCGUGAGGC
RNAcentral lists this ribosomal RNA (1240 nucleotides) under Salmonella enterica. RNAcentral describes it as "partial 23S ribosomal RNA". It matches the Rfam family "Bacterial large subunit ribosomal RNA", at positions 1 to 1269 of the family's 2925-position model. The record is from RNAcentral. Lineage: Bacteria; Pseudomonadati; Pseudomonadota; Gammaproteobacteria; Enterobacterales; Enterobacteriaceae.